AAUGAAAUGCCUGAAUAAAGGGUUAUCGUGAUAGGAUAAAUAAUGUAUAAUCAUAUACUUUCAUUA
This 66-nucleotide transfer RNA is filed under the name Ctenolepisma longicaudatum (long-tailed silverfish). RNAcentral describes it as "tRNA-Ile". Lineage: Eukaryota; Metazoa; Arthropoda; Insecta; Zygentoma; Lepismatidae. The record is from RNAcentral.